RNAcentral lists this ribosomal RNA (472 nucleotides) under uncultured bacterium. Its description in RNAcentral is "partial 16S ribosomal RNA". It matches the Rfam family "Bacterial small subunit ribosomal RNA", at positions 27 to 507 of the family's 1533-position model. The record is from RNAcentral.
GGACGAACGCUGGCGGCGUGCUUAACACAUGCAAGUCGAACGAUGAAGCCUAGCUUGCUAGGUGGAUUAGUGGCGAACGGGUGAGUAAUACGUGAGUGACCUACCUUUGACUCUGGGAUAAGCCUGGGAAACUGGGUCUAAUACCGGAUACGACCAAUCUCCGCAUGGGGUGUUGGUGGAAAGCGUUAUGGCGUGGUUUUAGAUGGGCUCACGGCCUAUCAGCUUGUUGGUGAGGUAAUGGCUUACCAAGGCGACGACGGGUAGCCGGCCUGAGAGGGUGACCGGCCACACUGGGACUGAGACACGGCCCAGACUCCUACGGGAGGCAGCAGUGGGGAAUAUUGCACAAUGGGCGCAAGCCUGAUGCAGCGACGCCGCGUGAGGGAUGACGGCCUUCGGGUUGUAAACCUCUGUUAGCAUCGAAGAAGCGAAAGUGACGGUAGGUGCAGAGAAAGCGCCGGCUAACUACGUG